UACGUAGGGCGCAAGCGUUGUCCGGAAUUAUUGGGCGUAAAGAGCUCGUAGGCGGUUUCGUAAGUCGGAUGUGAAAACUCAGGGCUCAACCCGGAGACGCCAUCCGAUACUGCGAUGACUUGAGUCUGGUAGGGGAACACGGAAUUCCUGGUGUAGCGGUGAAAUGCGCAGAUAUCGGGAGGAACACCUGCGAUGUAGAUGGCUUACUGGACCGUAACUGACGCUGAGGCACGAAAGCGUGGGUAGCAAACAGG
This 254-nucleotide ribosomal RNA is filed under the name uncultured bacterium. Its description in RNAcentral is "partial 16S ribosomal RNA". It matches the Rfam family "Bacterial small subunit ribosomal RNA", at positions 524 to 776 of the family's 1533-position model. The record is from RNAcentral.